CAUCUUCAUGAUCGCUGGCCAGUCAUAUUCAGCGCGAGUAUUACAACGCACUUCACGGCUUAAAAGCAGUUUGUGUCGUCUGAAGAAGGUACUGCAAUAGUUAGUGGGAUCAUCCAGUGUUGGCCACUGUAUGAGGGGUAACGGCACACCACUGCUGAUGCACAUGCAGGACAGUUCAUCACCCCACAUCACACAGCGGGAGCUAUUCAGGAUUUCAGGAGCAUCUGAUAAAACACCACAGUUCUUUCAGGCUCAAUCCCCUCCCAGAACAUGCCCAUUUUGGGGUUCAGGCAAGUCCCUGGAGCUCUGCAAGAUAUCUCUGCCUUUUCUCCAGCUGUGAGCAGUGGGACUUCAAUUGUUGGCUUCUCGUUGGUGGUCUUGUGGCUGUUCAAACCCAUUUCACCACGAGUAUCUACACUACACAAGAAAUCAGAUCCAGUCCUAUAGACUUCCUGAAUUUCCUGAAGAAAUGCCAACUGACCCAGCCGAGGAUCGAACCAGCGACCUUCUUGCUAUGAGGUGAUUGUGCUACCCUCUGCGCCACCAUGAGGCCCAAUUAUUUUUUCAGACCCACAAAAAGAAUUACUCCUAGAUAACGAUCACCUGUAUUUUCUCCGUCAUGGUGUGUAUCAGCAAUAAUAAAGCCAGAAAAUUUUAC
Molecule: long non-coding RNA, 658 nt
Filed under: Danio rerio (zebrafish)
Lineage: Eukaryota; Metazoa; Chordata; Actinopteri; Cypriniformes; Danionidae
Description: si:dkey-26o16.2 (ENSDARG00000100511.2)
Source: RNAcentral